RNAcentral lists this ribosomal RNA (460 nucleotides) under uncultured bacterium. Its description in RNAcentral is "partial 16S ribosomal RNA". It matches the Rfam family "Bacterial small subunit ribosomal RNA", at positions 355 to 803 of the family's 1533-position model. The record is from RNAcentral.
UGGGGAAUAUUGCACAAUGGGCGCAAGCCUGAUGCAGCCAUGCCGCGUGUAUGAAGAAGGCCUUCGGGUUGUAAAGUACUUUCAGCGGGGAGGAAGGGAGUAAAGUUAAUACCUUUGCUCAUUGACGUUACCCGCAGAAGAAGCACCGGCUAACUCCGUGCCAGCAGCCGCGGUAAUACGGAGGGUGCAAGCGUUAAUCGGAAUUACUGGGCGUAAAGCGCACGCAGGCGGUUUGUUAAGUCAGAUGUGAAAUCCCCGGGCUCAACCUGGGAACUGCAUCUGAUACUGGCAAGCUUGAGUCUCGUAGAGGGGGGUAGAAUUCCAGGUGUAGCGGUGAAAUGCGUAGAGAUCUGGAGGAAUACCGGUGGCGAAGGCGGCCCCCCUGGACGAAGACUGACGCUCAGGUGCGAAAAGCGUGGGGCAGCAAAACAGGAUUAGAUACCCUGGUAGUCCACGCCGU